Molecule: ribosomal RNA, 278 nt
Filed under: uncultured bacterium
Lineage: Bacteria
Description: partial 16S ribosomal RNA
Rfam family: Bacterial small subunit ribosomal RNA
Source: RNAcentral
CUUCCCGCCCGGCGACCGGCGCACGGGUGAGUAACACGUAUGAAACCUGCCCGUAGCAGGGGGAUAAGCGGAAGAAAUUCCGUCUAAUACCGCGUAACAACCCGAGGAGGCAUCUCCUCGGGUUUAAAGGAAGCGAUUCCGGCUACGGAUGGUCAUGCGUCGCAUUAGCUAGUUGGCGGGGUAACGGCCCACCAAGGCGACGAUGCGUAGGGGUUCUGAGAGGAAGGUCCCCCACACUGGUACUGAGACACGGACCAGACUCCUACGGGAGGCAGCAG